This 1408-nucleotide ribosomal RNA is filed under the name uncultured marine bacterium. Its description in RNAcentral is "bacterial SSU rRNA". It matches the Rfam family "Bacterial small subunit ribosomal RNA". The record is from RNAcentral.
GAUGAACGCUGGCGGCGUGCUUAACACAUGCAAGUCGAACGAACCUUCGGGUUAGUGGCGGACGGGUGAGUAACGCGUGAGAAUCUGCCCUCAGGAGGGGGACAACAGCUGGAAACGGCUGCUAAUACCCCAUAUGCCGCGAGGUGAAAUGAAUUUCGCCUGAGGAUGAGCUCGCGUCUGAUUAGCUAGUUGGUGUAGGUAAUGGCUCACCAGGGCAUCGAUCAGUAGCUGGUCUGAGAGGAUGAUCAGCCACACUGGGACUGAGACACGGCCCAGACUCCUACGGGAGGCAGCAGUGGGGAAUUUUCCGCAAUGGGCGAAAGCCUGACGGAGCAACGCCGCGUGAGGGAUGAAGGCCUCUGGGCUGUAAACCUCUUUUAUCAAGGAAGAAGAUCUGACGGUACUUGAUGAAUAAGCCACGGCUAAUUCCGUGCCAGCAGCCGCGGUAAUACGGGAGUGGCAAGCGUUAUCCGGAAUUAUUGGGCGUAAAGCGUCCGCAGGCGGCCCUUCAAGUCUGCUGUUAAAAAGUGGAGCUUAACUCCAUCAUGGCAGUGGAAACUGUUGGGCUUGAGUGUGGUAGGGGCAGAGGGAAUUCCCGGUGUAGCGGUGAAAUGCGUAGAUAUCGGGAAGAACACCAGUGGCGAAGGCGCUCUGCUGGGCCAUCACUGACGCUCAUGGACGAAAGCCAGGGGAGCGGAAGGGAUUAGAUACCCCUGUAGUCCUGGCCGUAAACGAUGAACACUAGGUGUCGGGGGAAUCGACCCCCUCGGUGUCGUAGCCAACGCGUUAAGUGUUCCGCCUGGGGAGUACGCACGCAAGUGUGAAACUCAAAGGAAUUGACGGGGGCCCGCACAAGCGGUGGAGUAUGUGGUUUAAUUCGAUGCAACGCGAAGAACCUUACCAGGGUUUGACAUCCUGCGAAUCUCUUGGAAACAGGAGAGUGCCUUCGGGAACGCAGUGACAGGUGGUGCAUGGCUGUCGACAGCUCGUGUCGUGAGAUGUUGGGUUAAGUCCCGCAACGAGCGCAACCCACGUCUUUAGUUGCCAGCAUUUAGUUGGGCACUCUAGAGAGACUGCCGGUGAUAAACCGGAGGAAGGUGUGGAUGACGUCAAGUCAUCAUGCCCCUUACAUCCUGGGCUACACACGUACUACAAUGCUACGGACAAAGGGCAGCAAGUUCGCGAGGACAAGCAAAUCCCAUAAACCGUGGCUCAGUUCAGAUCGUAGGCUGCAACUCGCCUACGUGAAGGCGGAAUCGCUAGUAAUCGCAGGUCAGCAUACUGCGGUGAAUACGUUCCCGGGCCUUGUACACACCGCCCGUCACACCAUGGAAGUUGGCCACGCCCGAAGCCGUUACUCCAACCCUUGUGGAGGAGGACGUCGAAGGUGGGGCUGAUGACUGGGGUG